GACGAACGCUGGCGGCGUGCUUAACACAUGCCAGUCGAACGGAAAGGCCCUGCUUUUGUGGGGUGCUCGAGUGGCGAACGGGUGAGUAACACGUGAGUAACCUGCCCUUGACUUUGGGAUAACUUCAGGAAACUGGGGCUAAUACCGGAUCGGAGCUCCUGCUGCAUGGUGGGGGUUGGAAAGUUUCGGCGGUUGGGGAUGGACUCGCGGCUUAUCAGCUUGUUGGUGGGGUAGUGGCUUACCAAGGCUUUGACGGGUAGCCGGCCUGAGAGGGUGACCGGCCACAGUGGGACUGAGAUACGGCCCAGACUCCUACGGGAGGCAGCAGUGGGGAAUAUUGCACAAUGGGCGGAAGCCUGAUGCAGCAACGCCGCGUGCGGGAUGACGGCCUUCGGGUUGUAAACCGCUUUCGCCUGUGACGAAGCGUGAGUGACGGUAAUGGGUAAAGAAGCACCGGCUAACUACGUG
This 468-nucleotide ribosomal RNA is filed under the name uncultured bacterium. RNAcentral's name for it is "partial 16S ribosomal RNA". It matches the Rfam family "Bacterial small subunit ribosomal RNA", at positions 28 to 507 of the family's 1533-position model. The record is from RNAcentral.